RNAcentral lists this ribosomal RNA (480 nucleotides) under uncultured bacterium. RNAcentral's name for it is "bacterial SSU rRNA". It matches the Rfam family "Bacterial small subunit ribosomal RNA", at positions 501 to 982 of the family's 1533-position model. The record is from RNAcentral.
CUACGUGCCAGCAGCCGCGGUAAUACGGGGGGUGCGAGCGUUAAUCGGAAUAACUGGGCGUAAAGGGCACGCAGGCGGUGACUUAAGUGAGAUGUGAAAGCCCCGGGCUUAACCUGGGAAUUGCAUUUCAUACUGGGUCGCUAGAGUACUUUAGGGAGGGGUAGAAUUCCACGUGUAGCGGUGAAAUGCGUAGAGAUGUGGAGGAAUACCGAAGGCGAAGGCAGCCCCUUGGGAAUGUACUGACGCUCAUGUGCGAAAGCGUGGGGAGCAAACAGGAUUAGAUACCCUGGUAGUCCACGCUGUAAACGAUGUCGAUUUGGGGGUUGGGCUUUAAGUUUGGCGCCCGUAGCUAACGUGAUAAAUCGACCGCCUGGGGAGUACGGCCGCAAGGUUAAAACUCAAAUGAAUUGACGGGGGCCCGCACAAGCGGUGGAGCAUGUGGUUUAAUUCGAUGCAACGCGAAGAACCUUACCUACUCUU